GACGAACGCUGGCGGCGUGCUUAACACAUGCAAGUCGAACGGUCCUGUUUUUGAAGCGCUUCGGCGUGGAGGGAGCGGGUUAGUGGCGUACGGGUGAGUAAUGCGCGAGGACCUGCCCGCGGGAGGGGGACAGCAGUUGGAAACGGCUGGUGAUACCCCGUAAGCCGGGAGGUAAAAGGGCGGAGACGCCCGCCUGCGGAUGGACUCGCGUCCUAUCAGCUAGUUGGUGAGGCAACGGCUCACCAAGGCGACGACGGGUAGCCGGCCUGAGAGGGUGUCCGGCCACACUGGAACUGAGACACGGUCCAGACUCCUACGGGAGGCAGCAGUGGGGAAUUUUGGGCAAUGGGGGAGACCCUGACCCAGCGACGCCGCGUGAGGGACGAAGGCCCUUGGGUCGUAAACCUCUUUUGCAGGGGAAGAAGAAGAUGACGGUACCUUGCGAACAAGUCCCGGCUAACUACGUG
Molecule: ribosomal RNA, 467 nt
Filed under: uncultured bacterium
Lineage: Bacteria
Description: bacterial SSU rRNA
Rfam family: Bacterial small subunit ribosomal RNA
Source: RNAcentral